GCUUCCAUAGCAUAGUUUGGUUAAUGCCUCGUGCUUAUAGAUGUGUUCGACCCUUUGGGUUAAAUUAGCUACGCGAAGAUCGUGAGUUCGAUCCUCACUGGAAGCA
Molecule: non-coding RNA, 106 nt
Organism: Lodderomyces elongisporus
Lineage: Eukaryota; Fungi; Ascomycota; Pichiomycetes; Serinales; Debaryomycetaceae
Source: the annotation of a RefSeq genome assembly